AUGCACCUCUCUGAGCCUCGGUUACCAUUUUGUAAGAUGGAGAUGCUAAUUCUUGCUCAAGCCACCUUCAGGCUCGACAUUCCUGUGGAUCCCCGUGGAACUACGGUGUGUGGUAAACUACUAUCCUCUUUAUGGCUGUCCCUUUGGCAGACCCAGUCUGCGGGGGAAGAGAUGAGGAAGCGAGGCCCGGACUUUGGAGAAUCCGAAGCUGAGCAGCCUGGGUCCUCCAGGCUGAGCAGUCUCCUCUCAAAACUGAUGAAAGCAGAAUGGGUUUCACUUUGCCACAUGCCUUUCAAUCUUCCAAGGAAGGAUGGAAUAAAGGAGAGUGACCGCUGGUCUUCUCCCCACCGCAUCCCAGGUGCUCAGCACGACGAUUGGCACAUAGUGGAUCCUCAGCAAAUGUUACGUCGGGGAAGUCGCAUAACCUUUCAGACUGCUGUUGCUCAUGAGAGGGCUGAUGGGAAUCCACUUUCUAAGCUGUAAGUAGGUGAUAAACUGGAUUUCCAUGUAUCCUGUCAUUAUUUAGGUGUUCAGGAAUGUGGUUAUAUUUUUUUCUGGCCUCCUAAGCUCGGGGGCGUAUGGGUCGGAGCUGACUUGUUGGAUCCUAUCCCCAAGAUGGAGACACUAAAAAGGUCCCGUCAAGGCACUUACCAGUUGGGUGAUUCUGGCUUCUUUCCAGGAGCAGGAGAGCAGAGGUACUAUAGUGAUACAGCGUCUCACCAAUCAGGGCAGGAUUAAACAAUGGGUAAAGGAGAUUGAAGAAGUUUGUCAGGUGGACUUAUAAUUUACCAAAGAUUUGGGGCAGCAAUUUAAGGAUUUAAGCUGCCCUGGGGGCAGAGUAGGG
This 844-nucleotide long non-coding RNA is filed under the name Felis catus (domestic cat). Its description in RNAcentral is "lncRNA (ENSFCAG00000044607.2)". Lineage: Eukaryota; Metazoa; Chordata; Mammalia; Carnivora; Felidae. The record is from RNAcentral.